RNAcentral lists this long non-coding RNA (1689 nucleotides) under Equus caballus (horse). RNAcentral's name for it is "lncRNA (ENSECAG00000053724.1)". The record is from RNAcentral. Lineage: Eukaryota; Metazoa; Chordata; Mammalia; Perissodactyla; Equidae.
CUUUCUUUAUUAACAUUUUAACCACUUCUCUCUAGAGAUUUCACUCAGUGUGACAUGCAAUCCAGAGAUCUGGAAAUAAAGGUCAUGUCAGAUUGAGAAAUCCUUUAGAUUAUAAAUUCUUCAAGUCCUAAAGUUGUGAAGACUGUGCAGGGCCGUCCUAAUUCCCUAAUAAGUUACUUAACAAGAAGUAAAUGCCUUCCCACUUUAUGAAAGCUUCCCUUGGCUCCAGACAUGGACAGGGCUGGCAAGUCUGCCUUCUCCAACACACACGGAAGUGUUUAUAGGGAAUGGGGUCUGAUCACAGUCAAAGAAAGGUCUAGGAAAAAAUCAAUGGACGUUCAUGAGAGAAAAAUUACACAUGAUGAUGAGGUUGUAGGACAUGUGGGAUGAGAAGAUUCUCGUGCUGAUACUCCAGAGAUGCCCAAGAGCACAGGAGGAGUUAUAGAUGACACCCGGACUGUGAUGCCAGACACUGGGAUUAGACCAGAGGACACCCAUAGGGAUAACAACACUCAUCUUUUUCUCCCCAUCUGAUAUCUCCUGAAGAAUGCCUAAAGUCUUAUGGAGAAUUCCUAUUUUCAUGGCAAUAGUUAUUUGUGUAAGUUCAGUAAGACUCAGUCCUCCUUGUUACUAUGAUAUCAUUGGAAAUAUUGGUGGUAUAUCCGUGGCUUUCAGUCAAAUUUCCUACUUGAAAAUGAUGUCCACAGGAUCAGAUAGGACCUCACACUUUCAGGAGCUAAGGUUGACUUGAUGGGAGUUUUGGGGAUCUGGAGAAGAGAGGAUGUCACUCAAAGCUGGAGAGACUGCAGGUGAGUCCUGAUGUCUGGGCUCCUAAUAUCAAGAGACUGUUAAAACUCCCAUCUGAGGUUCCUUAGGAAAGCCUGCAUCAGAGGAAACUAGUGAUGACUGUGCAAUCCCACUGCACCUGUGUAAAUCAUCAGGCCAAAUGGAACGAGAGCAGCCUUGUUUUAGCAUCAAGAAUGUUCUUCCUCAGAGAUGAUCUUGGAUCAAAAUGCAAGUGACUGUCACAGAAAUGUUCUGUCUCAUGGAAAAGUCCAGCAAGCACAGCCUUCUGAGGAUCGGAUUGUGGCCCUGUUCACUGACUCUCAGCUAUUUGGCACUUCUUUGUAAAUUGCGGCGAACUGAUGGAGAUGCAGACUGAGUCUUGGCUGAUAGAGAUGUCCUUGUGUCUGCCUCCCACGGGGCAGAAAGCAGUUUGUCAUGACCUAGAGGCCUGAUGUUCCCCUCAGACUCACUCAACUUUAGACAUUUCUUCAUGACUAUAGGUCCCUGGCCUCCAUUUUCUUAGAGCAUUUACUUUAGAAAUAUAAUUACAGUCUGUAAUUGCAGAUUCUUUCUCUACCCUUUUGAAAUGCAUAUAAGUCUACAUAGAAUUUUCUUGCCAGGUUUAGGAUCCAGGGAAUGUCUUUGGCAAUGGCCUGGGCCCAACUCUUUGAAAUGUAACCCUCCUGGCAGAUACAGCCACUACCUUCCAGUCUCUGAGGGAGGACAGGAGCCUAACUUCAGUGGGUCCCUUUACAAUCAGGAUUUAAAUUUACUUCCUGUCAAGAAUUUAUGGGAAGUUUUACUUUUCUUUUGAGUAAGGCUGAUCAGCAAACACAAGUCACCUCCAGUUCCCCCUACUUGCUCUUGAAAUCUCUCCAGCCUUUUGUUUCAGGGCUUGAGGUC